This is a long non-coding RNA of Myodes glareolus (Bank vole), 885 nucleotides long. RefSeq lists it as uncharacterized. The record is from RefSeq and is a predicted model, not a curated record. Lineage: Eukaryota; Metazoa; Chordata; Mammalia; Rodentia; Cricetidae.
UGUCCUGGGUGCUGGGAGCAGAUCUAACUCAUCUUUGUUUUUCUCUGCAUGCGGCUCAGUGCCUGGCACAGUGGAAUCCCUGAGGAAGUGCUGGCUUCCUUGUUUCAGCUGGAUCUUUAAGUAGUCCCACGAGGAAUGUUACAGCCUUCUACAAAAGACAAGCAAAAGCCAGGAAAUAGUCACAGUGUACUUGUGAGUCAGAGCCGUGUGACGCCUCUUCUUGCAAGACAAUCCUCCCGCCCUGCUGCCAGGUGACAUCCUACAUUCUCUCUCUGCACAGACUCUCCGGGGGCGCUCUCAACUCCGGGGCCAUUCUUUUGGAACCCCGAGACUUGAUGUGACAGUCACCAAGCCUGUUAGGAAAGGAGCUGACUUACUGGAAUGUGGAGUCAAAUGCCGGAGCUGCUGGAGCCCAGAGAUUUAUGCUAACAAGCUCCAGAAACACAGUUACACAGCCAGAAGAAAAGGUGCCUUCAGUGCCAACAACUUGCAACAGGUCAGCUUUAGAUGGAGAGGAAGGACUGGACAGUUCCACACAGCUUCUUGGGGCGCUUUUAUUUCAGGGAUGUUUUUCUGUUUUCCACUUUGGCCAGUACUGGCUUCUCUCUACUAGUACUGGAAAAAGCAAAGAAGUAUGCUUUGGGGCUCUGCAGUUCCUGAUGUUUGAACCUUGGUUAACUUGGAUUUCUAAACCCUGCCUGAUGGAGAAGCAGAGGUCCUUGCCUUUGGGAGCUCUUCUGAGCUAUUAGAGCUCUAUGUAAUCAUUUGGGCAAACGCCUUUGGUGUGAAAGCCCUUGUCUUCAGGAUUUCCUUUGUACAAUUUUGAUGUCCUAUUGGAUUAUUUAGGAAGUUGCCAGUAUAACAAGAAACUCUUGACUUCUGAAA